CAGGGAGGAAGUUUAUUUAUAACCCUUCCUGCCACGUGCACACGGCGGAGGCUGGCAGACCCAUGUGCCCACCCCGAAGGGCAGAGCUGGGAGUCGAGAGUCCAAUUUGGCCCGGUUGGUUCCAGUCUUCAUAAUCUGGAAUUUCCGGAAUUUUCCCUCAUUGUAGCUGAGGCUGGCACACUCCAUUUCAUUAAGGACGAGAAAGAGUGCGGGUGUCGGGGCUCUAGCCCACGGCUGACCUGCGGAGUCAUCACACCCUCGGAGUUCAGCCUGCAGACUCCCGCUGGACCGGGGUGGGAGCACCUGCGCUCCUGUCCGGUGAGGCUGGGGCCGUCUCAACCAGCUUUGGCCACCGGGUGGAUGAGCUCUCACGUGUCCCUGCUCGGCUUGGCCCCUGACACGCGGUGGCAGCUACUCUGACAAAGCCCAUUGCACGUUUCCUCUCUUAGAGUUUCCGUUUUUGUGGGAUCAGAGGCCGGGCUCAGUGCAUCUCUGUGUUCUCAGGGCUGGAAGACUGCGGCCCGUCACCGUAGCUGGAGGAAAUGUGUGCCAAUUUCCUCAUGGGGACAUGAGACGCUCAGUCAGAGCCACUCUAGGAGGAAGGAUGCUGGUGCCAGCAGGGGUGCACCCGGCUGCAGCUACGAGCAUCUGACUGGCUCUACUGUCAUGAAGUGGACGAUUGCCACACCAGGAGUUACCGAAGACCUGGGGUAUAGUCUUGGCCCUCCUGGUGAGCAUGAGGGGCAGCCAAGCUGCUGUCCCCCGGCUCUCGCGCUGUAGGGGCCGGCCUGAGAGGGCAGAUGCCUUUGGAUCGACUUCAAUUUUCAAUCCAUCUGGGGAGACCUGGGCGCUGCUUCACCAGCUCUGUCAAAGUGCCUUGAAGCUCGACUCUUGGAGCCAGAAGCCAACUUGGAGGACUGGCGUUUGAGCCCAACUUGGGUCCUAACUUGCUGUGUGGCCAAGGAAAAGUCACCCAACCUCUCUGGGCUUCAUUUCUGCAUCUAUCAAACGAGACAGAAUGAUUUCUGCUCUGACUGCUCAGAGGGGCAAUAGGAAAAGCAAAUAAAAUCAUAGUAAUUGCUCCA
Molecule: long non-coding RNA, 1085 nt
Filed under: Equus caballus (horse)
Lineage: Eukaryota; Metazoa; Chordata; Mammalia; Perissodactyla; Equidae
Description: lncRNA (ENSECAG00000058768.1)
Source: RNAcentral